UACGAGGGGGGCAAGGGUUGUUCGGAAUUACUGGGCGUAAAGGGAGCGUAGGCGGGCUCUUAAGUUGGAUGUUUAAAACCGGGGCCUAACCCCGGCGUGGCAUCCAAAACUGGGAGUCUUGAAUGGGACAGAGGCCAGUGGAAUUAGAGGUGUAGCGGUGGAAUGCGUAGAUAUCUCUAAGAACACCAGUUGCGAAGGCGGCUGGCUGGGUCCACAUUGACGCUGAGGCUCGAAAGCGUGGGGAGCAAACAGG
Molecule: ribosomal RNA, 253 nt
Filed under: uncultured bacterium
Lineage: Bacteria
Description: partial 16S ribosomal RNA
Rfam family: Bacterial small subunit ribosomal RNA
Source: RNAcentral